UAGUGGUAAUUUACUCAUUUUGCCCUGGCUUGAUUGUCUAUAUUAGCUCAGAAUUAUUCCUACCUUUAAGUUAUAAAAAAGAGAGUUCUUUUCUAAAUAACUGCUAAGGUAACAAAGAUGUUUACUGUACAUUUCCUUGCUCUCCUCCUAUUUUUCGGUGUCUUUCUCACUUUGGCAUCUGCGAACAGAAACGAAGAUUCUAUCUGUCUUUCCGUACCCGGCGAAUUCAUGCACAUGGCGGAUCGAUUCAUGUCCAUCAUUGAAACUUUUUUCAAGAGAUGAAAUUGUAACGAGUUCAUAUAAAAUGUCACGAAGGCUUAAAUCUUGUACCACAAAGAGAAUAAAACGCUAUCUUAAUAUUGA
Molecule: long non-coding RNA, 363 nt
Organism: Argiope bruennichi
Lineage: Eukaryota; Metazoa; Arthropoda; Arachnida; Araneae; Araneidae
Exons: 2
Source: RefSeq, a predicted model, not a curated record